UACGAAGGGGGCUAGCGUUGCUCGGAAUCACUGGGCGUAAAGCGCACGUAGGCGGACUCUUAAGUCGGUGGUGAAAUCCUGGAGCUCAACUCCAGAACUGCCUUCGAUACUGGGAGUCUCGAGUCCGAGAGAGGUGAGUGGAACUGCGAGUGUAGAGGUGAAAUUCGUAGAUAUUGGGAAGGAACACCAGUGGCGAAGGCGGCUCACUGGCCC
Molecule: ribosomal RNA, 213 nt
Filed under: uncultured bacterium
Lineage: Bacteria
Description: partial 16S ribosomal RNA
Rfam family: Bacterial small subunit ribosomal RNA
Source: RNAcentral